RNAcentral lists this transfer RNA (69 nucleotides) under Haliea sp. RNAcentral describes it as "tRNA-Val". It matches the Rfam family "tRNA". Rfam says of the family: Transfer RNA (tRNA) molecules are approximately 80 nucleotides in length. Lineage: Bacteria; Pseudomonadati; Pseudomonadota; Gammaproteobacteria; Cellvibrionales; Halieaceae. The record is from RNAcentral.
GACCAUAGCUCAGUUGGUUAGAGCGCUACCUUGACAUGGUAGAGGUCGGCGGUUCGAAUCCGCCUGGUC